Molecule: ribosomal RNA, 447 nt
Filed under: uncultured bacterium
Lineage: Bacteria
Description: SSU rRNA
Rfam family: Bacterial small subunit ribosomal RNA
Source: RNAcentral
AGAGCGAACGCUGGCGGCAGGCCUAACACAUGCAAGUCGAGCGCCCGUAGCAAUACGGGAGCGGCAGACGGGAUAGUAACACGUGGGAACGCGCCCUUCGGUUCGGAAUAACUCAGGGAAACUUGAGCUAAUACCAGAUACGCCCUUACGGGGAAAGAUUUAUUGCCGAAGGAACGGCCCGCGUCCGAUUAGCUAGUUGGUGAGGUAAUGGCUCACCAAGGCGACGAUCGGUAGCUGGUCUGAGAGGAUGACCAGCAUCACUGGGACUGAGACACGGCCCAGACUCCUACGGGAGGCAGCAGUGGGGAAUAUUGGACAAUGGGCGCAAGCCUGAUCCAGCCAUGCCGCGUGGAUGAUGAAGGCCUUAGGGUUGUAAAGUCCUUUUAACGGGGAAGAUAAUGACGGUACCCGUAGAAUAAGCCCGGCUAACUUCGCGCCAGCAGCCGC